RNAcentral lists this microRNA precursor (95 nucleotides) under Marmota monax (woodchuck). Lineage: Eukaryota; Metazoa; Chordata; Mammalia; Rodentia; Sciuridae. The record is from RNAcentral.
AUGCUGAUCACCUGUGGCUCCUGUUAAAAUGCAGAUUUUUAUUCAACAGACUGUACCAGAGAUACAGUUCUAAUAAGCUCCCAGGUGAUGCUGAU